This 220-nucleotide unclassified non-coding RNA is filed under the name Glomus sp. RNAcentral's name for it is "partial contains 5.8S ribosomal RNA and internal transcribed spacer 2". The stretch from base 1 to 71 matches the Rfam family "5.8S ribosomal RNA", at positions 84 to 154 of the family's 154-position model. Lineage: Eukaryota; Fungi; Glomeromycota; Glomeromycetes; Glomerales; Glomeraceae. The record is from RNAcentral.
GUGAAUCAUCAAAUCUUUGAACGCAAAUUGCACUCUCUGGUAUUCCUGAGAGUAUGCCUGUUUGAGGGUCAGUUUAAAUAAAAAUCGGUGUGUGCGCUUCCUUUCGUGGUCACGCGCCGGUUGUGGGUCGUCUCGCCUUCGGUUAAGUGACCUAAAAUUUUGCAUGAUUUUUUCGCACGUAUUUUAAUGAUUUUACGUACGUUGGCGAUAUCGGAUCCUA